GGCGACGUGGCCAAGUGGCUAAGGCAGAGGUCUGCAAAACCUCCAUCACCGGUUCGAAUCCGGUCGUCGCCU
This 72-nucleotide transfer RNA is filed under the name Chloroflexota bacterium. Its description in RNAcentral is "Chloroflexi bacterium tRNA-Cys". It matches the Rfam family "tRNA". From Rfam's summary of the family: Transfer RNA (tRNA) molecules are approximately 80 nucleotides in length. Their secondary structure includes four short double-helical elements and three loops (D, anti-codon, and T loops). Further hydrogen bonds mediate the characteristic L-shaped molecular structure. tRNAs have two regions of fundamental functional importance: the anti-codon, which is responsible for specific mRNA codon recognition, and the 3' end, to which the tRNAs corresponding amino acid is attached (by aminoacyl-tRNA synthetases). tRNAs cope with the degeneracy of the genetic code in two manners: having more than one tRNA (with a specific anti-codon) for a particular amino acid; and 'wobble' base-pairing, i.e. permitting non-standard base-pairing at the 3rd anti-codon position. RNAcentral also lists the same sequence under 1 other name. Lineage: Bacteria; Bacillati; Chloroflexota. The record is from RNAcentral.